GGGGAAUUUUCCGCAAUGGGGGCAACCCUGACGGAGCAAUACCGCGUGCGGGAGGACGGCCUGUGGGUUGUAAACCGCUUUUCUCAGGGAAGAAGACCUGACGGUACUUGAGGAAUCAGCCUCGGCUAACUCCGUGCCAGCAGCCGCGGUAAUACGGAGGAUGCAAGCGUUAUCCGGAAUUAUUGGGCGUAAAGCGUCCGCAGGCGGUUCAUCAAGUCUGCUGUUAAAGGCCGAGGCUCAACCUCGGUUAAGCAGUGGAAACUGGUGAACUAGAGUGCGAUAGGGGUAGAGGGAAUUCCCAGUGUAGCGGUGAAAUGCGUAGAUAUUGGGAAGAACACCGGUGGCGAAAGCGCUCUGCUGGGCCGAACCUGACGCUGAGGGACGAAAGCUAGGGGAGCGAAUGGGAUUAGAUACCCCAGUAGUC
This 424-nucleotide ribosomal RNA is filed under the name uncultured Geitlerinema sp. Its description in RNAcentral is "bacterial SSU rRNA". It matches the Rfam family "Bacterial small subunit ribosomal RNA", at positions 356 to 795 of the family's 1533-position model. The record is from RNAcentral. Lineage: Bacteria; Bacillati; Cyanobacteriota; Cyanophyceae; Geitlerinematales; Geitlerinemataceae.